GAUGAACGCUAGCUACAGGCUUAACACAUGCAAGUCGAGGGGAAACGAUAUUGGAAGCUUGCUUCCGAUAGGCGUCGACCGGCGCACGGGUGAGUAACGCGUAUCCAACCUGCCCAUCACUUGGGAAUAACCUUGCGAAAGUAAGACUAAUGCCCAAUGACAUUUAUAGAAGGCAUCCGAAAUGAAUUAAAGAUUUAUCGGUGAUGGAUGGGGAUGCGUCUGAUUAGCUUGUUGGCGGGGUAACGGCCCGCCAAGGCGACGAUCAGUAGGGGUUCUGAGAGGAAGGUCCCCCACAUUGGAACUGAGACACGGUCCAAACUCCUACGGGAGGCAGCAGUGAGGAAUAUUGGUCAAUGGGCGAGAGCCUGAACCAGCCAAGUAGCGUGCAGGAAGACGGCCCUAUGGGUUGUAAACUGCUUUUAUAGGGGAAUAAAGUGAGCCACGUGUGGUUUUUUGCAUGUACCCUAUGAAUAAGGACCGGCUAAUUCCGUGCCAGCAGCCGCGGUAAUACGGAAGGUCCGGGCGUUAUCCGGAUUUAUUGGGUUUAAAGGGAGCGUAGGCCGGAGAUUAAGCGUGUUGUGAAAUGUAGACGCUCAACGUCUGCACUGCAGCGCGAACUGGUUUCCUUGAGUACGCAUAAAGUGGGCGGAAUUCGUGGUGUAGCGGUGAAAUGCUUAGAUAUCACGAAGAACUCCGAUUGCGAAGGCAGCUCACUGGGGCGCAACUGACGCUGAAGCUCGAAAGCGCGGGUAUCGAACAGG
This 761-nucleotide ribosomal RNA is filed under the name uncultured bacterium. Its description in RNAcentral is "bacterial SSU rRNA". It matches the Rfam family "Bacterial small subunit ribosomal RNA", at positions 28 to 776 of the family's 1533-position model. The record is from RNAcentral.